Molecule: ribosomal RNA, 498 nt
Filed under: uncultured bacterium
Lineage: Bacteria
Description: bacterial SSU rRNA
Rfam family: Bacterial small subunit ribosomal RNA
Source: RNAcentral
GAUGAACGCUGGCGGCGUGCUUAACACAUGCAAGUCGAACGAAGCACUUAGACGGAAGUUUUCGGACGGAAGACUAAGUGACUGAGUGGCGGACGGGUGAGUAACGCGUGGGCAACCUGCCUCAUACAAGGGGAUAACAGUCAGAAAUGACUGCUAAUACCGUAUAAGCUUACGGCAUCGCAUGAUGCAGUAAGAAAAACUCCGGUGGUAUGAGAUGGGCCCGCGUCUGAUUAGCUAGUUGGUAAGGUAACGGCUUACCAAGGCGACGAUCAGUAGCCGACCUGAGAGGGUGACCGGCCACAUUGGGACUGAGACACGGCCCAAACUCCUACGGGAGGCAGCAGUGGGGAAUAUUGCACAAUGGGGGAAACCCUGAUGCAGCGACGCCGCGUGAAGGAAGAAGUAUUUCGGUAUGUAAACUUCUAUCAGCAGGGAAGAAAAUGACGGUACCUGACUAAGAAGCCCCGGCUAAUUACGUGCCAGCAGCCGCCGUAACAC